Molecule: long non-coding RNA, 1252 nt
Organism: Dioscorea cayenensis subsp. rotundata (Guinea yam)
Lineage: Eukaryota; Viridiplantae; Streptophyta; Magnoliopsida; Dioscoreales; Dioscoreaceae
Exons: 7
Source: RefSeq, a predicted model, not a curated record
UCCUCGUUGUUCGAUCAUCGUCGAGCCCCCCUCUCUUCCUCAUUCUCUUUAAAUACGGUGAGCUUUGAGCACCCACUAUGAACCUUCCAAUCGCUGCGAGGAGCUGCGGUGGUGGCGGCAUCAGGAUCGCCGCGGUGGUGGAGCUCAGUGGUGGAGAUUAGGUUCGAGUAGCUGCAUCUCAUUGAUGGAGAGGCCAAAGGCUUGGUGACGGUUAGGGUAGGGUUAGGGUUUUGUAGAAGACCCUAACCCUGGAGCUGAUGUGUAGAAGGGACAAAGCUUAAUGGCGCUCAACUGCGGAAUCAUGUCCGGUUUCAAGCUCCUCUCCUUGUCUGAAGCUGCCAUUUGCAAAUCAGUACUAGUACUUUGGAAUGCAUGGAAAGCCAUUAGGUGAGAUGACUGUAAGACAUGAAGCCAUUAGGUGUGCAACCUCCGAAGUACUAGUACUUUGGAAUGCAUGGAAAGCCAUUAGGUGUGCAACUUCCGAAGUACUAGUACUUUGGCCUUAGUGAUUUGCAGUCCAAGAAAUUUGAGCAAUUGGAAUCGGAGAAACAUGAAGCCAUCGGAGGUAAUGAGCAUAUGACUGGUCUUGCAGCUCUGGAGAUAGUUCUCAAGGUUGCCCUAAAAUUUGACCAUAGGAGCUGCAAAGGCUGUAAUUAUGGUCCUCUGUAUUAGUGGCAAGUUUACAUUGCUCUUGGGGGUAGUCAUGGAGUGCCUAGGGUGCAUUAUAAAUGACGACAGGGUCAUGGAAAUGCUAGCUCCCAGUUUGCGGGAUGCAUGGAAUUCAUCAGAUCAAGCGAUACCUGCUGAUAUGGUAUCUUGCAUUGCUGUUGAAUCCAUUUCAAACCUUGAAAAGAUGCAUUCGAAGGGUUAAACAUGAACAUGGGGAUUAGUACUAAAGUUGCUGUUGAAUCAGUUUCAGUUAAGAACCUUAAGCCAUGUGAAGAUAGUGAGUGCAAAGAGUCCAUCCAUUUGAAACCAAACGCAGCAGAUGUAAUUACUGAAGACAUGGCAGUGAAUAAAUAAUCUGGGUACAAAUGGUUUUAUCUCUAGAAAGAACAGCAGAAAUUCAGAGACAAAUGGUGAAGCAUUCCAUACCAAAUUGGCUUCAACAAUGAAUUGUAAGAACUAUGAGAAGCAAAAUUAUGCAAAUGGUAGACAAACAAUGAUUGACAAAUGCUAGACAAACAACAAUAUUUGUGUGUUUGUUUACAAUAUGUAUAUAGAUUAUAAAAAAAUAUUGUUCUUUAAUUAA